Molecule: ribosomal RNA, 253 nt
Filed under: uncultured bacterium
Lineage: Bacteria
Also listed under: 1 other name
Description: partial 16S ribosomal RNA
Rfam family: Bacterial small subunit ribosomal RNA
Source: RNAcentral
UACGGAAGGUCCGGGCGUUAUCCGGAUUUAUUGGGUUUAAAGGGAGCGUAGGCCGUGUAUUAAGUGUGUUGUGAAAUGUAGAUGCUCAACAUCUGAACUGCAGCGCAUACUGGUGCACUUGAGUACGCACAACGUAGGCGGAAUUCGUCGUGUAGCGGUGAAAUGCUUAGAUAUGACGAAGAACUCCGAUUGCGAAGGCAGCUUACGGGAGCGCAACUGACGCUGAUGCUCGAAGGUGCGGGUAUCGAACAGG